RNAcentral lists this ribosomal RNA (253 nucleotides) under uncultured bacterium. RNAcentral's name for it is "partial 16S ribosomal RNA". It matches the Rfam family "Bacterial small subunit ribosomal RNA", at positions 524 to 776 of the family's 1533-position model. The record is from RNAcentral.
UACAGAGGUCCCAAGCGUUGUUCGGAUUCACUGGGCGUAAAGGGUGCGUAGGUGGUCGGGUAAGUCUGAUGUGAAAUCUCCAAGCUCAACUUGGAAAUGGCAUUGGAUACUAUUCGGCUAGAGGGUUUGAGGGGGGACUGGAAUACUUGGUGUAGCAGUGAAAUGCGUAGAUAUCAAGUGGAACACCAGUGGCGAAGGCGAGUCCCUGGAAAACUCCUGACACUGAGGCACGAAAGCUAGGGGAGCAAACAGG